AUAUAUAUAUAUAUAUAUAUAUAUAUAUAUAUAUAGAGAGAGAGAGAGAGAGAGAGAGAGAGAGAGAGAGAGAUAGUUAUUUAGAGUAGGUGUGGCUGACAAAAAGCUGAAAGGUGACAUGGUUUGAAUGGACAGGCUCCAGACAGUCUCAAAGACAGGUAAAGGCAGAUAUAAAGAAUACGGGAGAAAUAAAAUCUGGGAUUAAAAUGACAUUCAAAGCUACUUACUCUUUAGACAGGGGUCUUUCCCCCUCUUUGUGUGUUUGAUCCUCGUCUGUGCUUUCUUCCUUCAGUGCGAUAACUAAGGGUUCUUCAAUAGGGUACCCUUGACAGCCCCGAAAUGAAGGAAGCAGACGGGAUGUACUGUAAAGUGUGUUUGUUUUUGUUUUUGUUGGGAGUUCCAGUAAAUGCUUGUGCACACGCCUGUCGUCAUGGAAUAAAGACCUAUUUUGCAUUCAGUCAAGCUUCAUGAGAUUUACUGUAUAGGGUUCGGUCUGAGUCCAUUGCAUUUAGCUUGGAGAUCUGUAAAAUCGUCUCAGAGUUCGGUAACAUAAAGAUGUCAAAAGUUUGGGUUUAGUUACAAGUGGUAAACCCCCACCCCCAGUGUUGGAGCAAUAAUUGAUGAUAAAUUAUUUUGAUUGUGUUAUGAAUCAUGUUAUCAACCAUAAUUGUUUCUGACAGCUAUCUAAAGCUAAAAAGGAUCAGCGCUACUGAAAUGUACUGUUCCUGUAGAUGAUUGAAUCCAGUCUCCCCUCUACUGAGGGAGAAAACGGUGAUAUAGCCUGGCUGAAAGAAAUACCAUUAAAACGAUUGUGAUAUUGUUAGUAAAGGGUUGAUCAUUGCGAAUGCCAGUAUCGCCCCACAUUGCUGUUUAUUUGUAUUUAUUAUUGCCAUAAAAUGGUUUUGAUUGUAUAUGAAGGUUACAUACAAAAUCAGAUGCAGCUCAGUUGAACAGGCUGAAUUAUUAUCUGAUUCUUAUUUUCUGUCUUUCAGCUUUUACCUUCUGCUUUUUGUUCCAAGCCUGUUCAAAAUGGUGUAACUGAACCAAUCAAACCUCCAUCCAGACCCUGAAAUAGUAUUAAUUAUGUAAUUAUUAAUAAAGUGGACUCUGACUGGACAC
Polyodon spathula (Mississippi paddlefish) is the source of this 1119-nucleotide long non-coding RNA. RefSeq lists it as uncharacterized. Lineage: Eukaryota; Metazoa; Chordata; Actinopteri; Acipenseriformes; Polyodontidae. The record is from RefSeq and is a predicted model, not a curated record. The transcript has 2 exons.